Molecule: unclassified non-coding RNA, 17 nt
Filed under: Mus musculus (house mouse)
Lineage: Eukaryota; Metazoa; Chordata; Mammalia; Rodentia; Muridae
Description: oocyte_clustered_small_RNA5873
Source: RNAcentral
CAUUUGGGGAGCCUGUG